This 691-nucleotide long non-coding RNA is filed under the name Oncorhynchus mykiss (rainbow trout). RNAcentral's name for it is "lncRNA (ENSOMYG00000063554.1)". The record is from RNAcentral. Lineage: Eukaryota; Metazoa; Chordata; Actinopteri; Salmoniformes; Salmonidae.
CAAAGAGGGGCAGACGGGGCAAACUCUAUAUUUUAAUGUAAGACGACACCAAAGAUUGUGGAUGAUUUAAGAUGUCUUACUCAGGCCAUUUACCAUUCGAAGAAAUGGUCACAGCUCCGGUGUGCAUUAAGGGGGUAGCUCUCCCAUAGGCACCAAUGCGAUUGCAACUGGGUCUGGUCUGCUUAGUUCAUUGACUGUGUAUGAAUCAGAAAAUAAGAUUGGGAUGUCUCGCUUUCUCUUCCGUCUCUGACACCCACUUGACUUCCUCUGUUGUUUCCAUGACAGCUGGCAGCAGAGAGAGGACAUAGGGGCCUAAGAAGGGAGGCCUACUCUUAACAUCACCCAUCCAGCAGGAUACUUACUGUAAACAAUGGCUAACCCCACCCCCAAUCUCCAGCUUCAGCCAGGUUGUUCACACAGGCCCUGGAGCAGCCAGUUUGGUCGACACUCGGUCCAGAAGGGGGGCUGCAAGGCUGAGUCCUGGGGCCAGUCCAGAUAGGUCCUGGUCUUGACCAGUCUUGCCAGACGGCUUGACCAGUCUUGCCAGUGGCUGAAGGGGAUGUCCUCAAGGAAGACCAGGAUGAGGAUGUUCCUGUGCUCCACCAGCAGACGGAGGGUGGCCAGGCGUAGCUUUAAAGAGCACCAGUUACUGCACAGGUUGUGACGACUCAUGGAGUAGCAGCUGCCAUAG